RNAcentral lists this ribosomal RNA (253 nucleotides) under uncultured bacterium. RNAcentral's name for it is "partial 16S ribosomal RNA". It matches the Rfam family "Bacterial small subunit ribosomal RNA", at positions 524 to 776 of the family's 1533-position model. The record is from RNAcentral.
UACGUAGGGUGCAAGCGUUAAUCGGAAUUACUGGGCGUAAAGCGUGCGCAGGCGGUUUUGUAAGUCUGUCGUGAAAGCCCCGGGCUCAACCUGGGAAUGGCGAUGAAGACUGCAAGGCUUGAAUCUGGCAGAGGGGGGUAGAAUUCCACGUGUAGCAGUGAAAUGCGUAGAGAUGUGGAGGAACACCGAUGGCGAAGGCAGCCCCCUGGGUCAAGAUUGACGCUCAUGCACGAAAGCGUGGGGAGCGAACAGG